GGGUUGUGAGGUUAAGCGACUAAGCGUACACGGUGGAUGCCCUGGCAGUCAGAGGCGAUGAAGGGCGUGCUAAUCUGCGAUAAGCGCCGGUAAGGUGAUAUGAACCGUUAUAACCGGCGAUACCCGAAUGGGGAAACCCAGUGUGACUCGUCACACUAUCAUUAACUGAAUCCAUAGGUUAAUGAGGCGAACCGGGGGAACUGAAACAUCUAAGUACCCCGAGGAAAAGAAAUCAACCGAGAUUCCCCCAGUAGCGGCGAGCGAACGGGGAUGAAACCGUGUACGUACAAGCAGUGGGAGCACCCUUUGGGUGUGACUGCGUACCUUUUGUAUAAUGGGUCAGCGACUUAUAUUCUGUAGCAAGGUUAACCGAAUAGGGGAGCCGGAGGGAAACCGAGUCUUAAYYGGGCGUUAAGUUGCAGGGUAUAGACCCGAAACCCGGUGAUCUAGCCAUGGGCAGGUUGAAGGUUGGGUAACACUAACUGGAGGACCGAACCGACUAAUGUUGAAAAAUUAGCGGAUGACCUGUGGCUGGGGGUGAAAGGCCAAUCAAACCGGGAGAUAGCUGGUUCUCCCCGAAAGCUAUUUAGGUAGCGCCUCGUGAAUUCAUCUCCGGGGGUAGAGCACUGUUUCGGCUAGGGGGCCAUCCCGGCUUACCAACCCGAUGCAAACUGCGAAUACCGGAGAAUGUUAUCACGGGAGACACACGGCGGGUGCUAACGUCCGUCGUGAAGAGGGAAACAACCCAGACCGCCAGCUAAGGUCCCAAAGUCAUGGUUAAGUGGGAAACGAUGUGGGAAGGCCCAGACAGCCAGGAUGUUGGCUUAGAAGCAGCCAUCAUUUAAAGAAAGCGUAAUAGCUCACUGGUCGAGUCGGCCUGCGCGGAAGAUGUAACGGGGCUAAACCAUGCACCGAAGCUGCGGCAGCGACACUGUGUGUUGUUGGGUAGGGGAGCGUUCUGUAAGCCUGYGAAGGUGKSYCGUGAGGSWUGCUGGAGGUAUCAGAAGUGCGAAUGCUGACAUAAGUAACGAUAAAGCGGGUGAAAAGCCCGCUCGCCGGAAGACCAAGGGUUCCUGUCCAACGUUAAUCGGGGCAGGGUGAGUCGACCCCUAAGGCGAGGCCGAAAGGCGUAGUCGAUGGGAAACGGGUUAAUAUUCCCGUACUUGGUGUUACUGCGAAGGGGGGACGGAGAAGGCUAUGUUGGCCGGGCGACGGUUGUCCCGGUUUAAGCGUGUAGGCUGGUUUUCCAGGCAAAUCCGGAAAAUCAAGGCUGAGGCGUGAYGACGAGGCACUACGGUGCUGAAGCAACAAAUGCCCUGCUUCCAGGAAAAGCCUCUAAGCAUCAGGUAACAUCAAAUCGUACCCCAAACCGACACAGGUGGUCAGGUAGAGAAUACCAAGGCGCUUGAGAGAACUCGGGUGAAGGAACUAGGCAAAAUGGUGCCGUAACUUCGGGAGAAGGCACGCUGACACGUAGGUGAAGUGAUUUACUCAUGGAGCUGAAGUCAGUCGAAGAUACCAGCUGGCUGCAACUGUUUAUUAAAAACACAGCACUGUGCAAACACGAAAGUGGACGUAUACGGUGUGACGCCUGCCCGGUGCCGGAAGGUUAAUUGAUGGGGUCAGCGCAAGCGAAGCUCCUGAUCGAAGCCCCGGUAAACGGCGGCCGUAACUAUAACGGUCCUAAGGUAGCGAAAUUCCUUGUCGGGUAAGUUCCGACCUGCACGAAUGGCGUAAUGAUGGCCAGGCUGUCUCCACCCGAGACUCAGUGAAAUUGAACUCGCUGUGAAGAUGCAGUGUACCCGCGGCAAGACGGAAAGACCCCGUGAACCUUUACUAUAGCUUGACACUGAACAUUGAGCCUUGAUGUGUAGGAUAGGUGGGAGGCUUUGAAGUGUGGACGCCAGUCUGCAUGGAGCCGACCUUGAAAUACCACCCUUUAAUGUUUGAUGUUCUAACGUGGACCCGUUACCCGGGUUGCGGACAGUGUCUGGUGGGUAGUUUGACUGGGGCGGUCUCCUCCUAAAGAGUAACGGAGGAGCACGAAGGUUGGCUAAUCCUGGUCGGACAUCAGGAGGUUAGUGCAAUGGCAUAAGCCAGCUUGACUGCGAGCGUGACGGCGCGAGCAGGUGCGAAAGCAGGUCAUAGUGAUCCGGUGGUUCUGAAUGGAAGGGCCAUCGCUCAACGGAUAAAAGGUACUCCGGGGAUAACAGGCUGAUACCGCCCAAGAGUUCAUAUCGACGGCGGUGUUUGGCACCUCGAUGUCGGCUCAUCACAUCCUGGGGCUGAAGUAGGUCCCAAGGGUAUGGCUGUUCGCCAUUUAAAGUGGUACGCGAGCUGGGUUUAGAACGUCGUGAGACAGUUCGGUCCCUAUCUGCCGUGGGCGCUGGAGAACUGAGGGGGGCUGCUCCUAGUACGAGAGGACCGGAGUGGACGCAUCACUGGUGUUCGGGUUGUCAUGCCAAUGGCACUGCCCGGUAGCUAAAUGCGGAAGAGAUAAGUGCUGAAAGCAUCUAAGCACGAAACUUGCCCCGAGAUGAGUUCUCCCUGAGACUUWRRGUCUCCUGAAGGAACGUUGAAGACGACGACGUUGAUAGGCCGGGUGUGUAAGCGCAGCGAUGCGUUGAGCUAACCGGUACUAAUGAACCGUGAGGCUUAACCUUACAACGCCGAAG
Molecule: ribosomal RNA, 2675 nt
Filed under: Salmonella enterica subsp. enterica serovar Enteritidis
Lineage: Bacteria; Pseudomonadati; Pseudomonadota; Gammaproteobacteria; Enterobacterales; Enterobacteriaceae
Description: bacterial LSU rRNA
Rfam family: Bacterial large subunit ribosomal RNA
Source: RNAcentral